RNAcentral lists this ribosomal RNA (441 nucleotides) under uncultured bacterium. RNAcentral describes it as "partial 16S ribosomal RNA". It matches the Rfam family "Bacterial small subunit ribosomal RNA", at positions 338 to 795 of the family's 1533-position model. The record is from RNAcentral.
CCUACGGGAGGCUGCAGUGGGGAAUAUUGCGCAAUGGGGGAAACCCUGACGCAGCAACGCCGCGUGAGUGAAGACGUAUCUCGGUAUGUAAAGCUCUAUCAGCGGGGAAGAAGGAAGACGGUACCCGACUAAGAAGCCCCGGCUAACUACGUGCCAGCAGCCGCGGCAAUCCGUAGGGGGCGGGUGUUAUCCGGCUUUACUGGGUGGAAAGGGAGCGUAGCCGGCGUCGCAAGUCUGAAGUGAAAGCCCGUGGCUCAACCGCGGAACCGCUUUGGAAACUGGGAGGCUGGAGUGCUGGAGAGGUAAGCGGAAUUCCUGGUGUAGCGGUGAAAUGCGUAGAUAUCAGGAGGAACACCGGUGGCGAAGGCGGCUUACUGGACAGUGACUGACGUUGAGGCUCGAAAGCGUGGGGAGCGAACAGGAUUAGAUACCCCAGUAGUC